CAACCCUCGAGCCCCCUUGGGGGCUUGGUGUUGGGGCUCGGCACGUCCCUAGCGGCGCGCCGUCCCCGAAAUCUAGUGGCGGUCUCGCGGCAGCCUCCUUUGCGCAGUAGUAUUACCUCGCACUGGAACGUCGCUUGGCCACGCCGUUAAACCCCCCACUUCUGAAA
This 167-nucleotide unclassified non-coding RNA is filed under the name uncultured Microcera. RNAcentral describes it as "sequence contains ITS2". Lineage: Eukaryota; Fungi; Ascomycota; Sordariomycetes; Hypocreales; Nectriaceae. The record is from RNAcentral.